AUGAACAGAGGCUCUGAGACAAAUGAGGUCACAGCCUCUGUCUGGAUUGAUAUUUCCCCAAUGACCCGCAGACCUGGGAGGACCAGUGGCAUCUCAUACCCCAGGGGAGGAGCAGCUAGUUUUCGGACUGCUUGUCUGUCACAGAAGCUCUCAUUUAAAGUUCUACGGUACCUUCUUGGAGUGAUAAUGAAGGCCCCUGGGAAAGGGAAAGCCCCUAUGCAGCAGAUUGAUGAUGCUGAGGCAGGAUCUUCCAGAUUAUGGCUACCUCAUUCCAGUACUACCAAGACUGGAGCAUGUCAGUUGAGCAACAAGGUGCAAAAGAAGAACCGUCUAAAGAAAAUUCUCAAGAAGCUGUCACUGCUCAAGCUGAUAAAGCAGGCUGAUCGCAGGAUCCUCCGGCUACGUGUAUUGGCCAGCAGGUGCUGGAAGUUACUGACAUUCGAGAAACCUGCCAGUCUUGUUCCUGGCCCUGCUGGAACAAAAGCAUCCUCUAUGGAGCCAAAGAAGCCUGGAGUGGACGCAGAUACUAGUCCUGUUGUCAACACUGCCACAGAGACUGAUCCUGACAUUACAGAUGUGAGCCCUACCACUCACCCUAAUGUAGAGACUGCUCCUAUCAUUGAGGAUGCUGACCCUGUUACCAUUGCUGGGGAUGACAUGGAGAUAGAUGCUGAUAUUGUGGAUGCUAGACCUGCCUCUGAGGAUGAUAUGAUGGCUGAUGCUAACUUGGUGCUGUGUAACCCAGAGCCGCCCCUGGAGGUCCAGCCUGAGAUUCAGGAGUGGAGGGCCUGUUUUGAAGGCCUGCCCCAGCGGCUCCACGUCCCUGCCCCUAAAGUGCUCUGCAGACCAGCUGUCCAGCGAUGGAUCAAACCAUGCUGUACUCGGUCCUGUGGCCAGACACUGGAGCACCCAUCAACUGUCUGGUACCGGGAGUAACAAAACCUAUUUCUGUCUUUCCAAACUGGGUGGAAACUAGGUUGAACAAUUGAAGGAGAGAGCUGCUGAGUGAUGUACUGAGCCAUAAUUCUAUAAAUAAAGGAAAUAACCUGCAUCCUUCA
RNAcentral lists this long non-coding RNA (1058 nucleotides) under Crocodylus porosus (Australian saltwater crocodile). RNAcentral describes it as "lncRNA (ENSCPRG00005012024.1)". Lineage: Eukaryota; Metazoa; Chordata; Crocodylia; Crocodylidae. The record is from RNAcentral.